Pelobates cultripes (western spadefoot toad) is the source of this 248-nucleotide non-coding RNA. The record is from the annotation of a GenBank genome assembly. Lineage: Eukaryota; Metazoa; Chordata; Amphibia; Anura; Pelobatidae.
CGCGGAACGCACGUGCAAUACAAUAUUGCAAUCUUGUCUGUAUUCUACUUCUGGGUAUGUGCGUGUGUUCCAGUGAUGUAAUGACGUCGACGUCCGUCCUCCAAGUGGCCUCGAAGACUGCAUAAAAGGGUCUCCUAAUGCGCACGUGCGUACCCUCGAUCUCUCUGCAGUCAUCUUAUGCCCAAUGGAACGCAAGUGCGUUCCAAAUACGAGAAUGUCAUUAGAAACCAUGAGAAAAAAAAAGAAAC